AACUAUAACGGUCCUAAGGUAGCGAAAUUCCUUGUCAGGUAAGUUCUGACCCGCAUGAAAGGCGUAAUGAUUUGGGCACUGUCUCAACAGCCCGCCCGGCGAAAUUGUAGUACCGGUGAAGAUGCCGGUUACCCGCGACAAGACGGAAAGACCCCAUGGAGCUUUACUGUAGCCUAAUAUUGGGUUUCGAUGUUGCAUGCACAGGAUAGAUGGGACACUGGGAAACAAUCGCUUUGGCGGUUGCGGAGUGGCCGUUGGGAUACCAUCCUUGCGAUAUUGGAAUUCUAACCUGCGGCUCUGAAUCGAGUCGGGGGACAUUGUUAGGUGGGCAGUUUGACUGGGGCGGUCGCCUCCUAAAAAGUAACGGAGGCGUUCAAAGGUUCGCUCAGCUUGAACGGAAAUCAAGCAAAAGAGUGCAAACGCAGAAGCGAGCCUAACUGCGAGACUGACGGGUCGAGCAGUAACGAAAGUUGGAGUUAGUGAUCCGGUGGUAUGUGAGUGGAAAUGCCAUCGCUCAACGGAUAAAAGUUACCCUGGGGAUAACAGGCUGAUCUCCCCCAAGAGUCCACAUCGACGGGGAGGUUUGGCACCUCGAUGUCGGCUCAUCGCAUCCUGGGGCUGUAUUCGGUCCCAAGGGUUUGGCUGUUCGCCAAUUAAAGCGGUACGCGAGCUGGGUUCAGAACGUCGUGAGACAGUUCGGUCCCUAUCUGUCGUGGGCGCAGGAUAUUUGAUGGGAGCUGUCCCUAGUACGAGAGGACCGGGACGGACGUACCUCUGGCGCACCAGUUGUUCCGCCAGGAGCAUAGCUGGGCAACUACGUACGGAUCGGAUAAACGCUGAAAGCAUCUAAGCGUGAAGCCGACCCAAAGAUAAGAUAUCCCAUUGUUUCAAACAAGUAAGACCCCUUGAAGACUACAAGGUUGAUAGGCACGAUGUGUAAGUGGAGCGAUCCAUUCAGCAAGCGUGUACUAAUAGGUCGAGGGCUUGACCAC
This 992-nucleotide ribosomal RNA is filed under the name human gut metagenome. RNAcentral describes it as "bacterial LSU rRNA". It matches the Rfam family "Bacterial large subunit ribosomal RNA", at positions 1938 to 2925 of the family's 2925-position model. The record is from RNAcentral.